RNAcentral lists this long non-coding RNA (1477 nucleotides) under Homo sapiens (human). RNAcentral's name for it is "cancer susceptibility 19". Lineage: Eukaryota; Metazoa; Chordata; Mammalia; Primates; Hominidae. The record is from RNAcentral.
GAAGUUGCACUGACCUGGCCAGCCCUGCCACUUACCAGGUUGGAUUCUAGUGAACUUGAUGAGUCAAGACUAUUGCAAUUGGAAAUCUGUUCUCCUCUGCUGCUGCAUUCCCUGCUUAAUACUCAAGCCAGAAACCAGGAAGGCUGUGGCUUGCCUUUUCACUUCUUGUGUCCUGUUUAAGAAAUAUCUGCUAUCCCAAGCAUCUGGCAUCUUUCUUGACAUAUGUAGCAGUUGCUUUUUGACAGCUUGCUUCUUCAGUGAAUGAAUAAAUUAAUAAAGAGAAAUGUGAUGUUCAGUGAUCCAUUUUGCAGCAUUUAUUAAAUACUGGUGCAUAAUGAUGGAAUAAAUUUUAUACCGUAAGGAUAAACCAGUAUUCUGGACUAAGCCAACGUGGGAGACCCUAGGAGGCCUGUUUGAGAAAGUGACAUUUAAAUUGAGACUUGGCGGUGGCUGUGGCUACAUAUCUAAUUGCAAACUCCUAGAGAAGGGCUCAACAGUGAGUGCUGAGGCUGCACAGAGGAGGAAGGCAGCACAAUGAUGGAAGGCUUCCUAAAGAGAUAACACUAACAAAGUUGACCUUAGAAUUGGAGUGCCUGGGUUAGAACCCUGCUGGUACCACCUGCUUACUGCAUGCUUCUGAUGUGAGUUCAGGAGAAGACACUGGCAAGGACAGCAAAGAACAGGAGAACACUCUAGCUUCCCUGAUAGCAUUCAAGGUGCUGUCCAAACUGACUGUGAUGGCACCCUCCAGACAGACAGCGAUGCCACAUGUUCAAGAUGGCAGAAUCACUAUCAGCUUCAAUUCCUGAAUGACUGCAGAGCAAAAUUUCUUACCUGCAACAUACACUCUAUUUUCAGCCUCCCUGGACUGUUACAUAAUGAUACAUAAAAAUAUUUCUUGUGUUGAGGCAUCCCAAAUUUGAUUUAUUUGUCAUCACAGUCUAUCCUAUGAAUAUAUUUCUGAUCCAAAUAAUGCUAGAUUCAUGAGAGUUUAUAGUCCAGAGAUUUUUUUUUUUUUUUUGAGACAGAAUCUGUCUCCCAGGCUGGGGUGCAGUGGCAUAAUCUUAGCUCACUGCAACCUCUGCCUCCCGGGCUCAAGUGAUCCUCCCUCCUUAGCCUCCAUGAGUAGCUGGGACCACAGGUGUGCACCACCACACCCCGCUAAUUAUUUUGUAUUUUUUGCAGAGGGGGGUUUCACCACAUUGCCCAAGCUGGUCUCAAACUCCUAGACUUAAGGGAUCUGCCUGCCUUGGCCUCCCAAAAUGCUGAAAUUACACUUGUUAGCCAUAGUAAUAGUUCCUAGCCAUAGUCCGGAGAUAUUUUAAAAACUUUAGUGUGAGUUAUUUCUCUUUGCUAUAAUUCUCUCAUGCAUUUUGAAAACCUUUUCUGCCAUACAGUGGUUUUUGGGAAGUCCUUUUGGACAGACAUAUCACAGGAUGGAGAAACUAAAAAGAGAGAAUGCAUUAAAGAAAAAAUA